This 407-nucleotide ribosomal RNA is filed under the name uncultured bacterium. RNAcentral's name for it is "partial 16S ribosomal RNA". It matches the Rfam family "Bacterial small subunit ribosomal RNA", at positions 30 to 526 of the family's 1533-position model. The record is from RNAcentral.
AUUGAACGCUGGCGGCAGGCCUAACACAUGCAAGUCGAGCGGAGCGGCGGAAGGGUGAGUAAUGCCUAGGAAUCUGCCUGGUAGUGGGGGAUAACGUCAGGAAACGGGCGCUAAUACCGCAAACAAUAAGAUGAGACUAGGUCGGAUUAGCUAGUUGGUGGGGUAAAGGCCUACCAAGGCGACGAGCCGUAACUGGUCUGAGAGGAUGGUCAGUCACACUGCAACUGAGAACCGGUCCAGACUCUUACGUUGGGCAGCAGUGGGAAAUAUUGCACGAUGGGCGCAAGCCUGAUGCAGCCCUGCCGCGUGUAUGAAGAUGGCCUUCGGGUUGUAAAGUACUUUCAGCUGUGAGGCGUUACCCGCAGAAGAAGCACCGGCUAACUCCGUGCCAGCAGCCGCGGUAAUAC